ACGGCGAAGGAUUUUUAAAUCUGGUCCGAUUCCUGUUGCAUUACUUCUACAACUCCUGGGUGUUCGAGUUUGAUUUGGAUUUACAGAAAUUGAAGCUGCAUUUUGUUGAUUUGGUUCUCGCUGAGUUCCAGCUCUUCAUUCGCCUUUAUUUGGUUAUUCAAGUUUGUCUCUACUGCUGUCUAGAGGUUUUGAAUUCUUGCUUGUCGCCGGCGAUUUUUCCGGCAACCCCUGCUCUUUUCUUUCUAUUCUCUCUUCUGGUGUGUGUGGGUGUGUUCUGUUUU
Molecule: long non-coding RNA, 281 nt
Filed under: Nicotiana benthamiana
Lineage: Eukaryota; Viridiplantae; Streptophyta; Magnoliopsida; Solanales; Solanaceae
Description: long non-coding RNA (NBEN_LNC030586)
Source: RNAcentral